AUAGAGUGCCGAAGUAAUGGCGUCACUUUGUAGGCUAAAACGCGGAAGUGAGGUAGCAUUUUAGCACUACGGGUUCCCUCGCCCUGAAGUCUAUGGGUUUUUUGAAUGGGUUUUUGCUAAAUCGCCUGAAAUAAGGUCUGUGGUUAACAAAACCUCUAAAUAUUUUCACGUUUUGUUCUAUGACAUAAAAUACACCAGUUAUAAUCUGCUUGUGAUUUUUUAAAACUUUAUUGUGCCUUAAAAACGGUGGUUGCUAACAAGUUGCUAAUAGGGACUACAUUCUUGGCGGGGAGUUUAGACGUCAUCAUGACAGGAAAUCUAGCCUUUCAGCUUCACGUUCUCAGAAGUUUACCUUUCAGUUAAUAUACAUAACGUUAUAUAUUUAGUCUUUUCAAAUUGUAGUUUUUCCAAAUAUUGUUGUACUGUGGAGAGACUGUAGUUUGACAUGUUUUGUUUUGUCCGGAGAUGCAACCACAAGUCGUCGAUGAAAGAUGCUCGUUUACCGUCCGAUGUUCCCCAGCGGAGACUGUUCGUUACACGAGCUGACCGGAUGUCCAGUGUCCAUUCUCGCAUCUGCUGUCAUUUUCCUGCAGGGGAUAAAAUGUCCCUGUUUUGUUUAUAUCCACAAAUGAUGUUCCCACUGGACAAAUUUUGGAAGAUCAUUCAUACUCCCUGAGACAGGAUAGGGCUGAUGUGCCUAAAAAUGUUCCACCACCCAUUUAUAAAGAGGAGGAAAUGGCUACAAUUUAUGGCUGACAAAGAUGAUGAACCAUCUCCGGCUGAUCAAACCCUCACUAUCAAUUCUGAGGAAUAACCAAAUAAAAGCACAACUAAAGAAGAGCUGCAGUCUGGACGAAGAAGAAGAAUCCAGCUUGAGAUUGAGUUAGAGCAUUCCAUAACAGAGAUUCAGCUUCUCAAAGACUAACUCCAAAGGCAAACAAGUAACUGUCAUGACAGGUAUUCAGCCUUUCAGAUGAGUAAAAGUGUGAUUCGAAUGGAGACAGGAUUGCCAGAUAGAGAUACUUUCAGUGCUGUGUGUGAAUAUGUUGCUCAUUGUGAGGAUUCCAUGACGUACUUUGCUGGAUGGAGGAGACCCAAAGAAAUCAUCCUUGAGGACCUUGAUCAAAAUUCGCCACAACUAUACGCACUUGCAUUUUCCAUGUGGGCAUUCACAUUGUGUUGCAAAAAUACUUUCUUUCCCUGUAGAGACUUGUCAUGUGAAUUAUAUAGUAUAUAGUUUGUUUUCAGUUUACUUAUUUUAUGAAAAUAAAGAUGUUUACUACAAAACUUGC
Non-coding RNA from Misgurnus anguillicaudatus (oriental weatherfish), 1292 nucleotides. Lineage: Eukaryota; Metazoa; Chordata; Actinopteri; Cypriniformes; Cobitidae. The record is from RefSeq and is a predicted model, not a curated record.